UACGUAGGGGGCUAGCGUUGUCCGGAAUCAUUGGGCGUAAAGCGCGCGUAGGCGGCCAGAUAAGUCCGGUGUGAAAGUCAAAGGCUCAACCUUUGAAUGCCGCUGGAAACUGUCUGGCUUGAGUCCGGAAGGGGCGAGUGGAAUUCCUGGUGUAGCGGUGAAAUGCGCAGAUAUCAGGAGGAACACCGGUGGCGAAGGCGGGUCUCUGGGCAAUAACUGACGCUGAGGAGCGAAAGCGUGGGGAGCGAACAGG
Molecule: ribosomal RNA, 253 nt
Filed under: uncultured bacterium
Lineage: Bacteria
Description: partial 16S ribosomal RNA
Rfam family: Bacterial small subunit ribosomal RNA
Source: RNAcentral